RNA transcript from Strigops habroptila (Kakapo), 3424 nucleotides. It is a transcript of the gene named WD repeat domain, phosphoinositide interacting 1, with no coding region annotated. The record is from RefSeq and is a predicted model, not a curated record. The transcript has 13 exons. NCBI's taxonomy places the organism in Eukaryota, Metazoa, Chordata, Aves, Psittaciformes, Psittacidae.
CAAUGGGAGGCGGCACCGCCCCUGCGCGCCGCGGAGCGGGCCAGGGGCCGGAGCGGGCCGAGCCGCCGCGCCCGCUCCAUGGAGGCCGCGGCCGAGGCCCCGGGGGCGCCCGCGGCGCUCAGCUGCUUCUCCUACAACCAGGACUGCACCUCCCUGGCAAUUGGAACCACAACUGGAUACAGGCUUUUCUCUUUAAGCUCUGUGGAACAACUGGACCAGGUCCAUGAAAGCAAUGAAAUCCCAGAUGUUUACAUCGUGGAGCGUCUGUUCUCCAGCAGCCUUGUGGUUGUGGUCAGUCAUGCCAAGCCACAGCAAAUGAAUGUGUACCACUUCAAGAAAGGGACAGAGAUCUGCAACUACAGCUAUUCCAGUAACAUACUGUCCAUCCGGCUGAACCGUCAGAGGCUGGUGGUUUGCCUGGAAGAGUCAAUUUACAUCCACAACAUUAAGGAUAUGAAGCUUUUGAAGACUAUUCUGGAUACACCUCCAAAUACAACAGGUCUGUGUGCUCUCUCCAUCAACCACGCCAACUCCUACUUGGCUUAUCCCGGCAGCGCGACCAGCGGAGAGAUCGCGCUUUACGACGGAAAUAGUUUGAAAACAGCCUGCACCAUUCCUGCCCAUGAUGGGCCUCUGGCUGCUCUCGCCUUCAACUCCACUGGCUCGAAGCUGGCAAGUGCCUCUGAGAAAGGCACAGUCAUUCGUGUGUUUUCCAUUCCUGGGGGGCAAAAGCUCUAUGAAUUCCGGCGAGGGAUGAAAAGGUAUGUGAACAUCAGCUCUCUGGUGUUCAGCAUGGAUUCCCAGUUCCUCUGUGCUUCCAGCAACACGGAGACCGUGCACAUCUUUAAACUGGAGCAUCUCACUGACAGCCGGCCAGAAGAGCCUCCAACCUGGAGCGGUUACAUGGGAAAGAUGUUCCAGGCUGCCACCAACUACCUCCCUGCUCAGGUAUCGGGCAUGAUGAACCAGGAUCGAGCCUUUGCCACUGUCCGCCUGAACGUCUCCGGACAAAGGAACAUCUGUGCCCUCUCCACGAUUCAGAAGCUGCCUCGACUGUUGGUGACUACGUCAGAUGGACAUCUCUGUAUCUAUAACCUGGACCCACAAGAUGGAGGGGAGUGUGUCUUAAUUAAGAAACACAGUCUCCUUGGCUCAGGAAAGAGGGAGGAGAACAAAGAAAACGACCUUCAGCCUCCGUUACCUCAAUCUUAUGCAGCAACUGUAGCCAGACAAAGUACAGUGCCUUCAACUUCAACUGUGCCAGGUUAUUCAGAGGACGGCGGUGCCCUGCGAGGAGAGGUUAUCCCAGAGCAUGAGUUUGCGACUGGACCAGUGUGUCUUGAUGACGAGAAUGAGUUUCCUCCUGUGAGCAUUCGGAACCCUUAAAACUGCAAUUCAUGCUAAGAAGAAUUAACCUCUUACAGAAGAGAUACCUUGUCCCAGCUCACUGUGAAGCCUAAAAUAACUAAUGAAGUUAUAGGGACAGUGCCAGGAAAAUUACACCCCACUAAAUGGCAGCUGGGGAUGGGGCAGAGAUGAUUAAACCUAAUAACUAGAGAUGGAUCUGAACGAACUCAUUGAAUGAAGUGCAGAUGCAGAAUGAAGUUCAGAUCCAGAUCUAACCUUUGUGCCUUGUGCAGAUUUCCAGGAUUACCAGGAGUAGCUUUCAUUUGAGCAAUACCAUCCUUUAGAAAUAAAAACUUAAUACUCCCUGUUGCAUUCACAGUCAGUUGGGUUAGUUUAUGGAAUGCAACUGGAAGAACAUACCUGAACCUCACCAGUCUCUGCAUGUCCGAGCUAACUGAAAAAGAAACUCCUUUUCCAAGGACAAUGGUGAAAGGCCUAACAGAGUUUUAAACUCCUUUAUGAUUUUUAUAUGGCACUUUCUUAGUUACCAUUGAGACAAGAUACUGGCUUUUAAAAAUCUAACUUAAGCCUGGCAGUGUCUUUCCAGUUCCUUUUCCUCGUUGUGUUAAGUAUUGAACCCCUGUUGGUACCGUGCUAUGAUCUGGUUGUAAUCAGUGGUGUCUUCAUACUAGUAAUGCAUUAAUACAGCAGAAUACUGUAAUGGAUUUCAAGUUGUAGACUUGGCAGAGUUUUGAAUCCCUUUUACUCUGUCUUUCCAUAUCCUGCUGGGGAGUUUUGCCUAAAAAGGAGGAAGUAAAAACUUUAUCAGGAUCCCAGGAUUUGUUCCAUAGGCUGAGGCUGACCUCUGUGAGGCACUUUGCUGUUAACUGAUGCAAAGUGUAACUUAGAUAAAAAGUGAAUCCCUUUGAAACAGCACUAUCUAAAUCCAAGGUUAAGUUUCUUAACCUUAGACCAGUUCUCUGUUGUAACCUGUAACAUAACCUGCUGCAAACUGAGAACAGGAGUUUUCUAGUUGUCCAACUCCAUUACCCAAGAAGGGUAUAUAAAAUGUCUCCCCCUUCUUGUUCCUUCUUCCUCCUCCUUGUUUUCUCCUUGUCUCCUCCUUCCUUGUUGUGGAGGAGAAGGUGGUGGCCCAGGCCCCUGGAAGGAGCAGCAGGGCCAGAGAGAAAUCCUUUGCUUCCUUCUGAUAAACCUGCUCUUGACCAGGUGGUUUAGGGACACACAAGUGCCAGCACGCAGGAAUCACGCUGCUCCUGAAUGAGCCUCCCUGCUGGGGUUAAGCUGUAUAAAAGCAGCCCCAAACCCCUGCUGUGCAACAGCAGGUACUUUCUAAACGAACUUUGAUCUCUCAGAGCCCCGUGCUGUAGUGAACCUGAGCGAGCAGCUCAGAUCCGCAGUGCUGGGGAGGAGAUGGUGUGGGAGGGAAGGCGCUUUCCAGAAAUACUCCGUGAGCUGGUGACUUAGCAAUUGGAGCUUCCCGAUGAAGCCUCUGCAGCCGGGACUCGGGCUUUGCCCCUCUCUUGCUGACGAUAAUCUUGUGCCGUGGAGGUCAGCCGGGCAAAGCGAAGAGGUCAUGAUGAGAAGCAAACAUCCGCGCUUAGGACAGCUGAUGGGAAGCGCGUUGGAAAAGCCGGGAAUGUGGAGGAACAGAUUUGGGAGUCCCCAAGACGAGAACAAAUAAGUAAAACCCAAGGUGGGCCACUGCUUUUUUCCUAUAGUAAGUGAAUACCUGGCCCCUGGUUUCAGUUCCUGUCUGGGGGGGUGUCUCUGUACUGUAUGCACAUCGCUAUAUUUAACAAACCAUAUGUUAGAGCCACAGUGUAAAUGCUAAUUUAAUCAGAUUUGUACGUAACCAGGAUUUUAUAUACCCAUUUGUCCCUUUUCUAAUUUAUGCUGGUUUAUGUGUAUAAAUGUACUUAGAGGAAGAUAUAUUGAACUUAUGUCUUUGUACAGUAUAUACAUACUAUUUUACCCAGGCAAAGUAUUUUUGCAGUGACAUUAGAGAUGCCAUUUGCUAUGUUGAAAGACAGAAUAAAGUCACGCUCUGUCCCUUGCA